This 254-nucleotide ribosomal RNA is filed under the name uncultured bacterium. Its description in RNAcentral is "partial 16S ribosomal RNA". It matches the Rfam family "Bacterial small subunit ribosomal RNA", at positions 524 to 776 of the family's 1533-position model. The record is from RNAcentral.
UACGUAGGUGGCGAGCGUUGUCCGGAUUUACUGGGCGUAAAGGGCGCGUAGGCGGUCAGCCCAAGUCGGUUGUGAAAUCUCCGGGCUUAACCCGGAAAGGUCAACUGAUACUGUGCGACUAGAGUGCGGAAGGGGCAACUGGAAUUCUCGGUGUAGCGGUGAAAUGCGUAGAUAUCGAGAGGAACACCUGCGGCGAAGGCGGGUUGCUGGGCCGACACUGACGCUGAUGCGCGAAAGCCAGGGGAGCGAACGGG